CCUACGGGUGGCAGCAGUGGGGAAUAUUGGGCAAUGGGCGCAAGCCUGACCCAGCAACGCCGCGUGAAGGAAGAAGGCUUUCGGGUUGUAAACUUCUUUUCUGAGGGACGAAGAAAGUGACGGUACAUCAGGAAUAAGCCACGGCGAACUACGUGCCAGCAGCCGCGGUAAUAAGUAGGGGGCAAGUGUUAUUCGGAUUUAUUGGGUGUAAAGGGCGUGGAGGGGGGAAAGGCAGUCAGAUGUGAAAACCUAGGGCUCAACCCCGGGCCUGACUUUGAAAAUGUUUUUUUUGAGUGCUGGGGGGGCAAGUGGAAUUCCGGGUGUAGGGGUGAAAUGCG
RNAcentral lists this ribosomal RNA (338 nucleotides) under uncultured bacterium. Its description in RNAcentral is "partial 16S ribosomal RNA". It matches the Rfam family "Bacterial small subunit ribosomal RNA", at positions 338 to 690 of the family's 1533-position model. The record is from RNAcentral.